CGGAGCUUGCUCCACCGGAAAAAGAAGAGUGGCGAACGGGUGAGUAACACGUGGGUAACCUGCCCAUCAGAAGGGGAUAACACUUGGAAACAGGUGCUAAUACCGUAUAACAAUCGAAACCGCAUGGUUUUGAUUUGAAAGGCGCUUUCGGGUGUCGCUGAUGGAUGGACCCGCGGUGCAUUAGCUAGUUGGUGAGGUAACGGCUCACCAAGGCCACGAUGCAUAGCCGACCUGAGAGGGUGAUCGGCCACAUUGGGACUGAGACACGGCCCAAACUCCUACGGGAGGCAGCAGUAGGGAAUCUUCGGCAAUGGACGAAAGUCUGACCGAGCAACGCCGCGUGAGUGAAGAAGGUUUUCGGAUCGUAAAACUCUGUUGUUAGAGAAGAACAAGGAUGAGAGUAACUGUUCAUCCCUUGACGGUAUCUAACCAGAAAGCCACGGCUAACUACGUGCCAGCAGCCGCGGUAAUACGUAGGUGGCAAGCGUUGUCCGGAUUUAUUGGGCGUAAAGCGAGCGCAGGCGGUUUCUUAAGUCUGAUGUGAAAGCCCCCGGCUCAACCGGGGAGGGUCAUUGGAAACUGGGAGACUUGAGUGCAGAAGAGGAGAGUGGAAUUCCAUGUGUAGCGGUGAAAUGCGUAGAUAUAUGGAGGAACACCAGUGGCGAAGGCGGCUCUCUGGUCUGUAACUGACGCUGAGGCUCGAAAGCGUGGGGAGCAAACAGGAUUAGAUACCCUGGUAGUCCACGCCGUAAACGAUGAGUGCUAAGUGUUGGAGGGUUUCCGCCCUUCAGUGCUGCAGCUAACGCAUUAAGCACUCCGCCUGGGGAGUACGACCGCAAGGUUGAAACUCAAAGGAAUUGACGGGGGCCCGCACAAGCGGUGGAGCAUGUGGUUUAAUUCGAAGCAACGCGAAGAACCUUACCAGGUCUUGACAUCCUUUGACCACUCUAGAGAUAGAGCUUCCCCUUCGGGGGCAAAGUGACAGGUGGUGCAUGGUUGUCGUCAGCUCGUGUCGUGAGAUGUUGGGUUAAGUCCCGCAACGAGCGCAACCCUUAUUGUUAGUUGCCAUCAUUCAGUUGGGCACUCUAGCAAGACUGCCGGUGACAAACCGGAGGAAGGUGGGGAUGACGUCAAAUCAUCAUGCCCCUUAUGACCUGGGCUACACACGUGCUACAAUGGGAAGUACAACGAGUCGCGAAGUCGCGAGGCUAAGCUAAUCUCUUAAAGCUUCUCUCAGUUCGGAUUGUAGGCUGCAACUCGCCUACAUGAAGCCGGAAUCGCUAGUAAUCGCGGAUCAGCACGCCGCGGUGAAUACGUUCCCGGGCCUUGUACACACCGCCCGUCACACCACGAGAGU
This 1357-nucleotide ribosomal RNA is filed under the name Enterococcus durans. RNAcentral describes it as "bacterial SSU rRNA". It matches the Rfam family "Bacterial small subunit ribosomal RNA", at positions 74 to 1411 of the family's 1533-position model. The record is from RNAcentral. Lineage: Bacteria; Bacillati; Bacillota; Bacilli; Lactobacillales; Enterococcaceae.